GACGAACGCUGGCGGCGUGCUUAACACAUGCAAGUCGAAGCGGUAAGGCCCUUUCGGGGGUACUACGGAGCGGCGAACGGGUGAGUAACACGUGGGUGACCUGCCCCUCACGCUCUGGGAUAAGGCCCCGGGAAAACUCGGGUCUAAAUACCGGAUAUGACUCCAUGACGCAUGUUGUGGGGUGGAAAGGCCUUGUGCGGCUGGAGGAUGGGGCCCCGCGGGCCCUAUCAGCUUGUUGGUGGGGUGAUGGCCACCAAGGCGACGACGGGUAGCCGGCCUCGAGAGGGCGACC
RNAcentral lists this ribosomal RNA (292 nucleotides) under uncultured bacterium. Its description in RNAcentral is "partial 16S ribosomal RNA". It matches the Rfam family "Bacterial small subunit ribosomal RNA", at positions 28 to 305 of the family's 1533-position model. The record is from RNAcentral.